UUACAUUGAGAGCUCCCAAACCCAUAAAGGUCCGAACGCUCAAGUCUUCGAAGAAGCAAAAAAAUCGAAAUUAGGUUAAAAUUUGAAUUUACUCUUCCCCUCCAUUUGAGUUCUCUUUUGCGCCUCUCCCUCUCCCCCUCACUCUUGCAUUCUUCUUCAGCCCAACCACCGCCGUGCUCGCCCCUGCAGCAACGCCGAACUCCCCUACACCCAUCUUCGCCGCCGCCGCCGUUUUCAUUAAGCGCCGUCGUGGUCGCCGCUGGUAAUUUUCAUUCAAUAUUUCUCUCUUCAAACUCUUUCUCUCUCUCUAACCACGCACAAUAGCUUUCGGUCACUGUCGCACGACCCCCGGACGUAUUUUCGCCGUCUUCCCUCGAGUCCGCUACAGCCAGUGCCGCCUCCGGAAUCGGAGUUUUUGUACGUGGCAUCUCUCUGUGAAUGGAGCAGAGACUAGCCAAUACGUGGCGUCUCUCUGUGAAUGAAAAAAAGUUCAUUGAAACAGCCCUUCUUUCCGAUUUGAGGGUCGAUGGUCGUUGCCCUUUUGACUACCGGAAUCUCACCAUCAACUUUGGCAAGGAUGAUGGUUCUUCUGAGGUGCAGCUUGGCCAGACUCACGUAAUGGGCUUUGUGACUGCUCAACUAGUUCAACCGUACAGGGAUCGUCCUAAUGAGGGCACUCUUUCUAUAUAUACUGAGUUUUCUCCUAUGGCUGAUCCAUCAUUUGAACCUGGCCGUCCGGGAGAGUCUGCUGUUGAGUUAGGGCGUGUAAUAGACCGUGGUCUACGGGAGAGUAGGGCAGUGGAUAUGGAAUCACUCUGUGUUGUUUCUGGCAAAUCUGUGUGGGCCAUUCGAGUUGAUCUCCACAUUUUAGAUAAUGGGGGAAACCUUGUGGAUGCGGCUAAUAUUGCUGCUUUGGCUGCUUUAUCAACUUUUCGAAGACCUGAGUGUUCAUUGAGUGGAGAUGAUGGUCAGGAAGUGAUAGUUCAUCCCCCUGAGGUUAGGGAGCCACUUCCGUUGAUCAUACAUCAUCUCCCUAUUGCAGUAACCUUCGCAUUUUUUCGUAGUGAGAGCAUUCUGGUGAUAGAUCCAACUCACUGUGAAGAGGCUGUUAUGGGAGGAAGAAUGACUGUCACACUUAAUGCUAAUAAUGAUGUUUGCGCUAUUCAAAAAGCAGGAGGAGAAGGUGUACUUAAGAGUGUGAUCAUGCAAUGUCUGCGAAUUGCUUCUGUCAAAGCUGGUGAUAUCACAACUAAAAUAAAAAAUGCAGUCGAGACUUACAGUUCAGCUAGACAAUUGCGGAAGAUUAAGCGUCACCCUUCUGUUAAUUUGGAUGUUGGAGGAGGUGCAGGUAGUCUGAAGGAUAGCCAAGGCAUAUCUGAUGGUGAAAAGAGUAUCAAUGAUCAGGAGAGUAUUGUCAGUCAAAGCGGGAGUAUCAAGAAUGAUGAAUCAACAAAUCAAGGACAAUUAGACAAGAGAGAUUUUGAUGCCAAGAAUUUCAUUGGGGGCCCUUCGUGCUGGGACCCACACUCCAAAGGUGUUGAUUCGAAUUUCUUGAAAGCUACCUUAGCUUCACGUGGAAAUCUAACCGCAAUGAAGAAAGAGGACAUGAGUGAUGAAAUGAUGUCCUCCGAGUCUAUGGUUGAUGAACAAGAAGCCAAAGUCGGUGAGGUGAAUUUGUCUCCUGUUGCUGCAAAAACUUUGUCAGAAGAAAAUGGGAAGAAGACGUUGAAAGAUGCGGUGAAGCGAAAGAAUAAGAGGAAAAAGAAGAAGACCACCACUAUUGAUGCAGAUUAGUUCACUGGUGACAAUCUUUUGAAAUAUACAAAUUUUGAAGCUCGACUUCGAAGUACAUAGAAGGGAGGGAUCAAAUGAAGCAGAAAGAAGCAUCACGAAGGUCGAGAACUUCAGCGGUAAAUGGUAUGCGUUUUUAUGUGUUGAUGACUUCUCCCGAUACACGAGGGUAAAGUUUAUAUGAGAAAAGUCAGAGACCUUCAAAGUAUGCGCGCCCUAUGUCUCCAGUUGCAAUGUGAACAAAGUAAAGGGGUUAUUUGUAUUCGAAGCGAUCAUGAGCGCGAAUUUGAUAAUAGUGCAUUCAAUGAUUUCUAUGAAUCAGAGGGAGCUUUUCAUGAGUUCUCUGCUCCUCUUACACCUCAACAAAAUGGGGUAGUUGAAUGUAAAAAUUGCACGUUGCAGGAAAUGGUUUGUGUGAUGUUGCAUGCUAAAGCCUUUCCCUUA
This is an RNA transcript of Cucumis melo (muskmelon), 2235 nucleotides long. It is a transcript of the gene named exosome complex component RRP45B-like, with no coding region annotated. NCBI's taxonomy places the organism in Eukaryota, Viridiplantae, Streptophyta, Magnoliopsida, Cucurbitales, Cucurbitaceae. The record is from RefSeq and is a predicted model, not a curated record. The transcript is spliced from 12 exons.